RNAcentral lists this ribosomal RNA (975 nucleotides) under Salmonella enterica subsp. enterica serovar Cerro. RNAcentral's name for it is "partial 23S ribosomal RNA". It matches the Rfam family "Bacterial large subunit ribosomal RNA", at positions 568 to 1547 of the family's 2925-position model. The record is from RNAcentral. Lineage: Bacteria; Pseudomonadati; Pseudomonadota; Gammaproteobacteria; Enterobacterales; Enterobacteriaceae.
AAGCAGAGGGGGCUUAGUGGUGGGGUGACUGCGUACCUUUUGUAUAAUGGGUCAGCGACUUAUAUUCUGUAGCAAGGUUAACCGAAUAGGGGAGCCGGAGGGAAACCGAGUCUUAACCGGGCGUUAAGUUGCAGGGUAUAGACCCGAAACCCGGUGAUCUAGCCAUGGGCAGGUUGAAGGUUGGGUAACACUAACUGGAGGACCGAACCGACUAAUGUUGAAAAAUUAGCGGAUGACCUGUGGCUGGGGGUGAAAGGCCAAUCAAACCGGGAGAUAGCUGGUUCUCCCCGAAAGCUAUUUAGGUAGCGCCUCGUGAAUUCAUCUCCGGGGGUAGAGCACUGUUUCGGCUAGGGGGCCAUCCCGGCUUACCAACCCGAUGCAAACUGCGAAUACCGGAGAAUGUUAUCACGGGAGACACACGGCGGGUGCUAACGUCCGUCGUGAAGAGGGAAACAACCCAGACCGCCAGCUAAGGUCCCAAAGUCAUGGUUAAGUGGGAAACGAUGUGGGAAGGCCCAGACAGCCAGGAUGUUGGCUUAGAAGCAGCCAUCAUUUAAAGAAAGCGUAAUAGCUCACUGGUCGAGUCGGCCUGCGCGGAAGAUGUAACGGGGCUAAACCAUGCACCGAAGCUGCGGCAGCGACACUCAGGUGUUGUUGGGUAGGGGAGCGUUCUGUAAGCCUGUGAAGGUGGCCUGUGAGGGUUGCUGGAGGUAUCAGAAGUGCGAAUGCUGACAUAAGUAACGAUAAAGCGGGUGAAAAGCCCGCUCGCCGGAAGACCAAGGGUUCCUGUCCAACGUUAAUCGGGGCAGGGUGAGUCGACCCCUAAGGCGAGGCCGAAAGGCGUAGUCGAUGGGAAACGGGUUAAUAUUCCCGUACUUGGUGUUACUGCGAAGGGGGGACGGAGAAGGCUAUGUUGGCCGGGCGACGGUUGUCCCGGUUUAAGCGUGUAGGUGUGUGUUCCAGGUAAAUCCGGUU